GACGAACGCUGGCGGCGUGCUUAACACAUGCAAGUCGAACGAAGUGGCGAACGGGUGAGUAACGCGUAAUCAACCUGCCCUUCAGAGGGGGACAACAGUUGGAAACGACUGCUAAUACCGCAUACUGAAGGAGGGGUUUGCGUGUGAAUAGCUAGGUGGAGGGGUAACGGCCCACCAAGGCGAUGAGCAGUAGCCGGUUUGAGAGGAUGAACGGCCAAAUUUGGACUGAGAACAGGCCCAGAAUUCCACGGGAGGCAGGAGUGGGGAAAUUUCCGCAAUGGACGAAAGUCUGACGGAGCAAAGCCGCGGGAGUGAUGAAGGCCUUCGGGUUGUAAAGCUCUGUUAAGCGGGACGCGGUACCGGAAUAGAAAGCCACGGCUAACUACGUGCCAGCAGCCGCGGUAAUAC
RNAcentral lists this ribosomal RNA (408 nucleotides) under uncultured bacterium. Its description in RNAcentral is "partial 16S ribosomal RNA". It matches the Rfam family "Bacterial small subunit ribosomal RNA", at positions 28 to 526 of the family's 1533-position model. The record is from RNAcentral.